RNAcentral lists this ribosomal RNA (251 nucleotides) under uncultured bacterium. RNAcentral describes it as "partial 16S ribosomal RNA". It matches the Rfam family "Bacterial small subunit ribosomal RNA", at positions 103 to 354 of the family's 1533-position model. The record is from RNAcentral.
CGGGUGAGUAACGCGUGGAAAACCUGCCGUAUACUGGGGGAUAACACUUAGAAAUAGGUGCUGAUACCGCAUAAGCGCACAGCUUCGCAUGAAGCAGUGUGAAAAACUCUGGUGGUAUACGAUGGUUCCGCGUCUGAUUAGCUAGUUGGUGGGGUAAUGGCCUACCAAGGCAACGAUCAGUAGCCGGCCUGAGAGGGUGAACGGCCACAUUGGGACUGAGACACGGCCCCAACUCCUACGGAAGGCAGCAG